AUGGCGCCCGCCGGCCCAAAUGUAUUUAAAGAUGCGUUCCGUUACGCAACAAACAUUUGCGCGCGUUAUUUUCUCCCGUUUUGAACCACUCUGCUCAAUUCGUGCGACGCCGCAAACCUGGAUCGUCUGUCGGAUGUGAGCGCCAAAUAAGGCCGCCUAGCCAGCAUCCUUGGACGCAAAGCAAGCGGGAGGCUCUUGAGCCAUCUCAGUGAUGUUGAGGACACUGAGGAAGACUAGUCCUAAAUCAGGCUGGACGCUAAAGGGGUGCGCAUGGCCCGGCCCAACCCGACCCGGCGACAAUCACAAAGAGUAGCUAGCCGCUGUGGUCAAAUGGCGACCGGGACACGACACGAUCAGAGGUGGACCACUUCCCCAGCCUGGUGGCAACACGCCGAAGUAUCCUGCCUUGACCGAACACUGGGUUCUGAGGGAGACCCGCUUCCCUGGAGGCGUCGACCUGCGCAGCUUCAACGUGUAACAUUGAGUUUUUUUUUAAAUUAUUUUUAAAUUCACACCAGCGGUGUCCAAAUGUCUGUUUGAGGGCUGCAUACUGAAACAAAUUCAGAAUUCUUUGACACAAAUUAAAUAACGAACUUGUGCUAUUUUUUGCUACUGCUACAAAGCGGUGUUGUGUUCAUUCAUGUGGUGUGUUGAUAAAGUUGCCCCGAGGCUGCCAUUUGGACACCAAUGGUGACAUGUGUAGGGCUGCACGGGUAUUGGAAACCUGCCAUAUGGUGGUAUAGGUUAUUGACAUGCACUUUAAGAAAGGAAAGUUUUUUUUGUUUAAUGUGGCAAAUGACUCGUGCUCCAUGUUUUCUGGCCUCCUAUUUGUAAUGAGUUUAGAAGAUGAAGAGUCCUUGAUGCAAGUUAAAUUUAACUGAUCUAACUGAUGUCAUUGUGAUCAAAUAGUUCAUUUCCAUCCCAA
Long non-coding RNA from Syngnathus acus (greater pipefish), 925 nucleotides. RefSeq lists it as uncharacterized. The transcript has 4 exons. Lineage: Eukaryota; Metazoa; Chordata; Actinopteri; Syngnathiformes; Syngnathidae. The record is from RefSeq and is a predicted model, not a curated record.